Molecule: non-coding RNA, 106 nt
Filed under: Oscillibacter sp. 1-3
Lineage: Bacteria; Bacillati; Bacillota; Clostridia; Eubacteriales; Oscillospiraceae
Also listed under: 1 other name
Description: c-di-GMP-I riboswitch aptamer
Rfam family: c-di-GMP-I riboswitch aptamer
About the family: GEMM was predicted in a large-scale screen for bacterial structured RNA regulatory elements. Genes associated with GEMM are involved in a diverse array of functions, including chemotaxis regulation, signal transduction, secretion and chitin.
Source: Rfam by way of RNAcentral
AAGAUGUGUAGGCAAACCAUUGGAAACAAUGGGACGCAAAGCUACGGAACUAAGGCACCGGGAGCGAGCGGAUGCUCCCGGAGGCUAUGUCCGCCGGGUUGCAACU